RNAcentral lists this ribosomal RNA (406 nucleotides) under uncultured bacterium. RNAcentral describes it as "partial 16S ribosomal RNA". It matches the Rfam family "Bacterial small subunit ribosomal RNA", at positions 29 to 526 of the family's 1533-position model. The record is from RNAcentral.
AUUGAACGCUGGCGGCAGGCCUAACACAUGCAAGUCGAACGAGUGGCGGACGGGUGAGUAAUGUCUGGGAAACUGCCCGAUGGAGGGGGAUAACUCCUGGAAACGGUAGCUAAUACCGCAUACCAUCGGAUGUGCCCAUAUGGGAUUAGCUAGUCGGUGGGGUAACGGCUCACCUAGGCGACGAUCCCUAGCUGGUCUGCGAGUAUGACAAGAAAGACGGGAACUGAGACACGGGCCGGAGUCCUACGGGAGGCAGCAGUGGGGAAUAUUAGAGAAUGGGGGCAAGCCUGAUGGAGCCAUGCCGCGUGUAUGAAGAAGGCGUUGGGGUUGGAAAGGACUUUGAGCGUGGAGGCGUUACUCGCAGAAGAAGCACCGGCUAACUCCGUGCCAGCAGCCGCGGUAAUUC